GAUGGACAUCAGAAAUAGAUGGAGAGGUUGAGGGUAGAGGAAGGACAUCAGUAAUAGAUGGGAGAGGCUGAGGGUAGAGGAAGGACAUCAGUAAUAGAUGGGAGAGGUUGAGGGUAGAGGAAGGACAUCAGUAAUAGAUGGAGAGGUUGAGGGUAGAGGAAGGACAUCAGUAAUAGAUGGAGAGGUUGAGGGUAGAGGAAGGACAUCAGUAAUAGAUGGGAGAGGGUAGAGGAAGGACAUCAGUAAUAGAUGGGAGAGGUUGAGGGUAGAGGAAGGACAUCAGUAAUAGAUGGGAGAGGUUGAGGGUAGAGGAAGG
This 316-nucleotide long non-coding RNA is filed under the name Salmo salar (Atlantic salmon). RNAcentral's name for it is "lncRNA (ENSSSAG00000100963.1, ENSSSAG00000102009.1)". The record is from RNAcentral. Lineage: Eukaryota; Metazoa; Chordata; Actinopteri; Salmoniformes; Salmonidae.